CGUUCCCGGGCCUUGUACACACCGCCCGUCAAGUCACGAAAGUCGGUAACACCCGAAGCCGGUGGCCCAACUCUUUGAGAGGGAGCCGUCGAAGGUGGGACUGGCGAUAGGGACU
Molecule: ribosomal RNA, 115 nt
Filed under: uncultured bacterium
Lineage: Bacteria
Description: partial 16S ribosomal RNA
Rfam family: Bacterial small subunit ribosomal RNA
Source: RNAcentral